RNAcentral lists this transfer RNA (59 nucleotides) under Porphyromonadaceae bacterium. Its description in RNAcentral is "tRNA-Arg". It matches the Rfam family "tRNA", at positions 9 to 63 of the family's 71-position model. Rfam says of the family: Transfer RNA (tRNA) molecules are approximately 80 nucleotides in length. Their secondary structure includes four short double-helical elements and three loops (D, anti-codon, and T loops). Lineage: Bacteria; Pseudomonadati; Bacteroidota; Bacteroidia; Bacteroidales; Porphyromonadaceae. The record is from RNAcentral.
AGCUUAGUUGAAUAGAGCGUCAGAUUCCGGUUCUGAAGGUCGUGGGUUUGAGUCCCACC